UCCCCCCUUAUGGUAGGUGAGGGGGACAGCAAAGUGAGUGCGGGAGUCCUCUCUAUUGGGCACAAGUCACUGUGAUGCCUUUUGUGAGUUGAGCUGUGGCUGCGAGGAAGAGAAGCCCACAGUGCCGCCAGAUAGGGGCCUCGGGGACCUGAUGGCCCAUCAUGAGCAGGGAGAGGAGCCUGGAGCCCGGCAGGCUGAGAGAGCAACUGUGUGCAUCCGGGGAGUGAUAAGACAGGACGGAGAAACCCAGGAAGCUUAAGGAGCCACUUUCUGAGGACAGUAGCCCCAGGACUCCCAUCUCAGCCAUGGUUGCAGGUGGAGCGUGCUAGGGAGGAGGCAGAAUGCAAUAGCCCCGCUUCCUGAGACCAUGGUGGUUUGAUCAGGUGCCACAGUGUCAGGCAAGGCAGCGGGCCAGGUUAGGGAGAGCUGGAGCACCUCGGUGGCUUGGCGGGACUGCACUCAGAGAGGGUGACUGAGACAAGCUGACCAGCCUUUCCGCUGCAUAGACGAAGGAUACAUGCUAGGUGAACACAGCACAGGCCCUAUGAGCUCCAGAGCUGUGUGGGGGAAUGGGGAGAGACACUUCUGGGUUUCUGUGAAGCCCGUGGAGCAGACACUUCUGGACACCUGCCCAGCAUGGCUUGAUUCCCUUCCUCCUUGCUGAUUUAGUUGAGGUUUCUGCUCCCUGCCUAAAGGUCUAAAAGGCAGAUGCUUCAGGAAGGCUGACUUCUGGUAGUAGGCCCCAUUGGUCUAAACCCAUCAAAGUGCUCCCAUACUGCUGGCCAGGGAUUGGGUUAAGUCGAGGCAUGUGGUACAAUUCUGGCCAACAAGAUAGAUGGGAGGGGAAGUCCUCUAAAUUAAGGUUGUGAAUGUUCAGAAAAAGCUUUCUUCACUCUCCAAGAGACUCAAAGGUGAAAGAGCUUUCUUUCCUGAAUCUUGGCAAUGGUGUGCCUUGGAUGCAACAUCUAGAACUUUGGCAGCCAUCUUGUGACUGAGAGCAGUGAGCCUACAAGAAUGGACUGAUGGGUGGAUUCAGUUGGUAUAGCAUGCAACUCUUGAUCUCAGGGUCUUGAGUUCGAGCCCCACGUUGGGUGUAGAGCUCACUUCAAACAAACAAACAAACAAAUAAACAGACUGAUAGGAAGAACCAAGGUCCUCCAUAACAUCACUGAGUCACCAAACCAACCCAGCGUGGUUGGGGCCACUGGCCUUUGGACUUCCCCUUGUCUGUAAGCCAGGAGGGGCUCCCCCAGCAGCCACAGGUCCACGCAGUGCCUCUUGGGUCUCCCCAGGUGCCUGGGAAGGGGCUGGGGACUAGCGAGAGUGCCAGCACCCUGACACCUUUUCUGGUCCCUGCAGACUUCCAGUUUUUAUAGGGCGAGUCUGAGCUGGAGGCUCAAGGCAGAGAAGCUGACAACAUGGAGCAUUCUGGAUGUGCCUCUGGAGAAGGCCGUUUUGCCGCCACCACCCCAGUGCUGCCAUGGAGACAGGCAGCCGUGGGCCCGGGCCUGAGGGAGGCUCAAUCGCAUGCAGAUCUGAGAGGCAGGUGAGCCUGAAGCCUUCGCCAUCCUGGCCUCUCUGCCUCCCCUCAAAGCCACAGACACUCACCUUCCUUUGCUCUAUUUCGGCCUCAGCCCCUCCUGUUCUCAGCUCACUACCUCAGCUCAUUACCUAAGGACAUUUUCCCCAGCAGGGUGCUCAGGUGAGCUUUUCCAGCUGCCGGCAGUUGGGUGCUGACCCCUCGGGGUUACGAGGCCCUCCAGGUUUGGGGAAACAACGUGUGUGCUGAGCUGACUACAGAGCGUCUGGGAUGCCAUGACUGUCCUCUUCCACAUGUCUUGUUCUGGCCCAUGUUUCAGAUUUAUGGAAAGGACUGGAGUCCUGGCCCGCUCCUGAGUAAGGCAUUGUGGGCCUGGGUGUGGAAUGAGAGUUUUUAAUGCCGUCCUGUUGAUGUGGAAGAUUAGGACUCCUGUCCAGUGGGUCAUGGCUCCCAACCUUGGCUGAAUGUUAGGAUCUUCUGGGAAUCUGCAAAACACGGAAGCCAGACUCCCUCCCAUAGAUAUUCUGAGGAACUGGCCUGGAGUGCCAGCUGGAUGAGAGCGCCCCACGUGGUGCCAAUGUGCAGACAAGGAUGCCAAGAUGACUCAAUUGAGAAAGAACUCUCUUCAACAAGUCGUGCUGGGAAAACUGGACAUCUGCAUGCAGAUGAGAAGUCAUACCUUCAUCUCACUCAAAAAUUAACUCAAACAGGAUCAAAGAGCAAGCCAUUUUCACAAAAGGGCUUGCAAAUGUACAAGCUCCUCCCUGAGGCCUCCUUCUGCAUGGCACAGACCUUUCAUCACCAACCCAACUUGUAAUCUUGGGUAAAAGAAGGUUCUCCACUCAUCUUCACAGAGGAAAAAAAAAAAAAAGGCAAAGCAAAACAAAACAGCCACAUCAUGAAGUCAUUCCAUGUAAUGAGGCUUGCUCUGUGGAGCUGUCAUUACUCUGGGCUGCAGGAGGGUCUGGACUGCCCACUGGCCUCCCACCUCGCCCUGGCCAGUCAGGGCUGGAGUCAGCAGCCGGACAGCCCAGAAGGCCACCCUGGAGCCUUAGAGGAGAGGCUGUUUUUUGGGCCUCACUUAGAAAUUCCUGGCUGGUCAGUGGCAGCCAAAGAUGGGAGAACAAUCCUAUCAGGCCUGCCACCUCACCUUGGUACAUUCUGAACUCAGGCUUUUGCUCAAAUCACUCUUACCCCUACCAUCUCCCGGGACUCCCUGACCAGUGCUCUUGACUCACAGAACCUUGCUCAUCUUUGAGAGCCAGUGUAAGUUCUGCUUCCCAGGACCAGGGAGCCUCCGCAUCCCACAACUAUUCAUUCGACAACAGUUUAUCCAGCCCCUUCCCAGGGCCUGGCUAAAGACGGGCAAGCCUGGAAGCCUGCCCUUGCCCGCACUGAAGAAGGGAGAUACGGAAGCAGUGCUGGGAUGGCGUGCUGAGCGCCCAGAGCUACUCCCACUGAUCUUCACGGUGCCCGAGGCGCUCCCCACUCCCUCAGUCAGCCAGUUGGCCUCUUCUUUUCUCUCUCAGGGUAGACCGGUGGUCU
This is a long non-coding RNA of Lutra lutra (Eurasian river otter), 3085 nucleotides long. RefSeq lists it as uncharacterized. The record is from RefSeq and is a predicted model, not a curated record. The transcript has 8 exons. NCBI's taxonomy places the organism in Eukaryota, Metazoa, Chordata, Mammalia, Carnivora, Mustelidae.